UUGCAAUGAUGACCUUCUUAGGACACCUUUGGAUCAUACGUGAAAAUAAAACUUUGGCUCUGAGUGAC
This is a small nucleolar RNA of Hypanus sabinus (Atlantic stingray), 68 nucleotides long. RefSeq annotates it as small nucleolar RNA SNORD58. The transcript has a single exon. Lineage: Eukaryota; Metazoa; Chordata; Chondrichthyes; Myliobatiformes; Dasyatidae. The record is from RefSeq and is a predicted model, not a curated record.